AACGGACGCUGGCGGCAUGCCUAACACAUGCAAGUCGAACGAGACCUUCGGGUCUAGAGGCGCACGGGUGCGUAACGCGUGGGAACCUGCCCUUAGGUUCGGAAUAACUCCCCGAAAGGGGUGCUAAUACCGGAUAAUGUCUUCGGACCAAAGAUUUAUCGCCUUUGGAUGGGCCCGCGUUGGAUUAGCUAGUUGGUAGGGUAAAAGCCUACCAAGGCGACGAUCCAUAGCUGGUCUGAGAGGAUGAUCAGCCACACUGGGACUGAGACACGGCCCAGACUCCUACGGGAGGCAGCAGUGGGGAAUAUUGGACAAUGGGCGAAAGCCUGAUCCAGCAAUGCCGCGUGAGUGAUGAAGGCCUUAGGGUUGUAAAGCUCUUUUACCCGGGAUGAUAAUGACAGUACCGGGAGAAUAAGCUCCGGCUAACUCCGUG
Molecule: ribosomal RNA, 433 nt
Filed under: uncultured bacterium
Lineage: Bacteria
Description: partial 16S ribosomal RNA
Rfam family: Bacterial small subunit ribosomal RNA
Source: RNAcentral